AUUGAACGCUGGCGGCAUGCUUUACACAUGCAAGUCGAACGGCAGCGCGGGCUUCGGCUUGGCGGCGGUUGGCGAACGGGUGAGUAAUACAUCGGACCUUGCCCGGUGGUGGGGGUUAGCUCGCCGAAACCCGGAUUAAUACCCCAUCCGCCCUGAGGUUGAAACCGGGGGUUUUUCGGACCUCGCCCUUUUGGAGCGCCCGAUGGCAGAUUAGCUAGUUGGUGGGGUAAAGGCCUACCAAGGCGACGAUCUGUAGCUGGUCUGAGAGGACGACCAGCCACACUGGGACUGAGACACGGCCCAGACUCCUACGGGAGGCAGCAGUGGGGAACUUUGGACAAUGGGCGAAAGCCUGAUCCAGCAAUGCCGCGUGUGUGAUGAAGGCCUUCGGGUUGUAAAGCACUUUUGGCGGGAACGAAAAGGACUGUGCCAAUACCACGGUUCGAUGACGGUACCCGCAGAAUAAGCACCGGCUAACUACGUG
Molecule: ribosomal RNA, 484 nt
Filed under: uncultured bacterium
Lineage: Bacteria
Description: partial 16S ribosomal RNA
Rfam family: Bacterial small subunit ribosomal RNA
Source: RNAcentral